AGCUCAAAAUGGGUGGUAAAUUUCAUCUAAAGCUAAAUAUUGGCGGGAGACCGAUAGCGCACAAGUAGAGUGAUCGAAAGAUGAAAAGCACUUUGAAAAUAGAGUUAAAAAGUACGUGAAAUUGUUGAAAGGGAAGCGCUUGAGACCAGACUCGGCCGGAGACGAUCAGCGGUCCUUUUGGGCCGUGCACUCGUCCUCGGUUGGGCCAGCAUCGGUUGAGACGGUGGGAUAAAGGUCUGGGGAAUGUGGCUCCUUUCGGGGAGUGUUAUAGCCCCGGGCGCAAUGCCGCCAGCCUCGACCGAGGACCGCGCUCUUUUGCUAGGAUGCUGGCGUAAUGGUCUUCAGCGACCCGUCUUGAAACACGGACCAAGGAGUCUAACAUCUAUGCGAGUGUUUGGGUGUCAAACCCUUGCGCGUAAUGAAAGUGAACGUGGGUGGGAACCUCUCGUAAGGGGGGCGCACCAUCGACCGAUCCUGAUGUCUUCGGAUGGAUUUGAGUAGGAGCAUAGCUGUUGGGACCCGAAAGAUGGUGAACUAUGCCUGAAUAGGGUGAAGCCAGAGGAAACUCUGGUGGAGGCUCGCAGCGGUUCUGACGUGCAAAUCGAUCGUCAAAUUUGGGUAUAGGGGCG
This 629-nucleotide ribosomal RNA is filed under the name Maublancomyces gigas. RNAcentral describes it as "eukaryotic LSU rRNA". It matches the Rfam family "Eukaryotic large subunit ribosomal RNA", at positions 284 to 925 of the family's 3401-position model. The record is from RNAcentral. Lineage: Eukaryota; Fungi; Ascomycota; Pezizomycetes; Pezizales; Discinaceae.